AUGAAGAACUUGAAAGACGCUAAAACCAAGAUCUAUCCCUCAACUACGAGGGGAGGUAAGGAACUGCCAUCUAGCUCUGCACUAGAUUCUCCUUCUGUUAUGAGUAAGUUUGCGACACCUAAACCUGAUACUCCUAUGAAUUCUGAUAUGUCGCAUGUUAUUGAUGAUGCCACUUCUGCUAUGCAUGAUGAAACUACUUCUGUGCGUGAUACUACUUUGCCAUUAGGUGAAUUUCUUGAUGAACAACUUGCUAGAGUUAGGGGGAAUGAUAUUACUGAAGAUCCUAUUACUGAUGAUAGUGAUGAUGAACGUUCCCCCAAUGAUUAUGUAUUACCUGUUGUUCCUAAGGGUUAUGUUAUGAAUGAAAAGGCUGCUAUAGAAAUUCUUGCUUGCAAUGAUAGAAAUGAUCUUAAGAAAUUAUUAGCUAAAUGGAAGCAGCAGUCUCUUAAUGCUAGAAUGAAACCCGAUCCUGCUUUUGCUACUUCACCUAUCUGUGUUACUGAUAAGGAUUAUGAAUUCUCUGUUGAUCCUGAUAUUAUUACUUUAGUUGAAUCUGAUCCUUUUUAUGGCCUUGAAUCUAAAACUGUUGUGGCACAUCUUACCAAGUUGAAUGAUAUAGCCACCCUGUUUACUAAUGAUGAGAAGUCUCGCUAUUUAUAUAUUCUUAAGAUAUUCUCGUUCUCAUUAAAGGGUGAUGCUAAGACUUGGUAUAAUUCUCUUGCUCCUGGUUGUGUGCGUAGUCCCCAGGAUAUGAUUUAUUACUUCUCUGCUAAAUAUUUCCCUGCUCAUAAGAAACAAGCUGCCUUGCGGGAAAUAUAUAAUUUUGUGCAAAUCAAAGAAGAGAGUCUCCCACAAGCUUGGGGGAGGCUUCUCCGGUUACUUAAUGCUUUGCCUGAUCAUCCUCUUAAGAAAAAUGAAAUACUUGAUAUCUUUUAUAAUGGACUAACCGAUGCUUCCAAGGACUACUUGGAUAGUUGUGCUGGUUGUGUUUUCAGGGAAAGAACAGUCGAUGAAGCUGAAAUAUUAUUGAAUAAUAUGUUGACUAAUGAAAAUAAUUGGACUCUUCCUGAGCCAGUUCUUGAAGUAAUUCCUGAACCAAUUGAGCCAACUCCUGAGCCUAUUCCUAAACCCACUCCAAAGAAGAGAGGUGUUUUAUUUCUCAGUCCAGAAGAUAUGCAAGAGGCAAAGAAAUCAAUGAAAGAAAAGGGUAUUAAAGCCGAAGAUGUUAAGAAUUUACCUCCUAUUGAAGAAAUACAUGGUCUUAAUUUACCGCCUGAAGAACCAGAUUGUCUUGAUAACCCUACACAGGUAGUAAAGGUAAAUUCUCUCUAUAGAUAUGAUAAAGUUGAAAUACCCUCUACUAAAUUUCAUAGCCCAUGCUUAGAUGAAUUUGAUGACUUUAUGGCUAGACAAGAAAGUUUUAAUGCUUAUGUUGGUAGAGAGUUAAAGAAUAAUGCUUUCGAGAUAGGACGCGUAGGUGAUAAUCUGGCUAGAGUUAAAGAAGAACUUCACCGUGUUAGCAAAUAUGCUUCUAUGGUUGCUACUCAAGCUGAGCAAGUACUUAAAGCUCAAAAUGAUCUUCUUGAUGAAUUAAAUAAUAAAAAUGACUUUGCUGUUAGAGUGGCUACUAGAACUGGUAGAAUGACUCAGGAACCUUUGUAUCCUGAAGGCCACCCUAAGAGAAUCGAGCAAGAUUCUCACAGAAAUAAUUUAGAGGCACCUAGUUCUUUCUAA
This 1734-nucleotide ribosomal RNA is filed under the name Triticum aestivum (bread wheat). Its description in RNAcentral is "partial small subunit ribosomal RNA". The record is from RNAcentral. Lineage: Eukaryota; Viridiplantae; Streptophyta; Magnoliopsida; Poales; Poaceae.